Molecule: RNase P RNA, 377 nt
Filed under: Rodentibacter heidelbergensis
Lineage: Bacteria; Pseudomonadati; Pseudomonadota; Gammaproteobacteria; Pasteurellales; Pasteurellaceae
Description: RNase P RNA component class A
Rfam family: Bacterial RNase P class A
About the family: Ribonuclease P (RNase P) is a ubiquitous endoribonuclease, found in archaea, bacteria and eukarya as well as chloroplasts and mitochondria.
Source: RNAcentral
CGAGUUGGUUAGACAAUCGCUGGUUUACUGAAGCCCUAAACCGUGUUCGCACGACCUAGCGGGACAAGUAAACGAGAGGAAAGUCCGAGCUACACAGGGCAGAGUGCCGGAUAACGUCCGGGAGGCGUGAGCCUACGACUAGUGCAACAGAGAGCAGACCGCCGUGUAAACGGUAAGGGUGAAAGGGUGCGGUAAGAGCGCACCGUGUCGCCGGUAACGGUUGGCAGCAGGGUAAACUCCACUCGUAGCAAGACCAAAUAGGAACUCAAUGGAUGGCCCGUCUAGAGUUCGGGUAGGUUGCUUGAGCGGCGGAGUAAUUCGUCGCCUAGAGGAAUGAUUGUCCACGACAGAACUCGGCUUAUCGACCAACUCAACAA